Molecule: ribosomal RNA, 520 nt
Filed under: uncultured Diversispora
Lineage: Eukaryota; Fungi; Glomeromycota; Glomeromycetes; Diversisporales; Diversisporaceae
Description: SSU rRNA
Rfam family: Eukaryotic small subunit ribosomal RNA
Source: RNAcentral
AGCAGCCGCGGUAAUUCCAGCUCCAAUAGCGUAUAUUAAAGUUGUUGCAGUUAAAAAGCUCGUAGUUGAACUUCGGAAUUUAUUCAUUGGUCAGGCUUAACUGUCUGUACUGGUGUUUUGAAUUCCUACCUUCUGAGGAAUCUCCAUGCCAUUCACUUGGUGUGGUGGGGAAUCAGGACUGUUACUUUGAAAAAAUUAGAGUGUUUAAAGCAGGCUAACGUCUGAAUACAUUAGCAUGGAAUAAUAAAAUAGGACGGCUUGGUUCUAUUUUGUUGGUUUCUAGGAUCACCGUAAUGAUUAAUAGGGAUAGUUGGGGGCAUUAGUAUUCAAUUGUCAGAGGUGAAAUUCUUGGAUUUAUUGAAGACUAACUACUGCGAAAGCAUUUGCCAAGGAUGUUUUCAUUAAUCAAGAACGAAAGUUAGGGGAUCGAAGACGAUCAGAUACCGUCGUAGUCUUAACCAUAAACUAUGCCGACUAGGGAUCGGACGAAGUUAAUUUUAAAUGACUCGUUCGGCACCUU